Long non-coding RNA from Sceloporus undulatus (fence lizard), 1603 nucleotides. RefSeq lists it as uncharacterized. The transcript has 3 exons. Lineage: Eukaryota; Metazoa; Chordata; Lepidosauria; Squamata; Phrynosomatidae. The record is from RefSeq and is a predicted model, not a curated record.
GAAGAGACGGAGAAAGAGAUUUCAGCCAAAAGAGAGAAACGUCUGGCCAUCCUUUCAGAGGAACUCUCUUCUCUAGAGGGUCUCAUCCAGGAGAUGGACGAAAAGCAGCAGCAGCCGGCAGGUGAAUUCCUCCAGGAUAUUGGAAGCUUCUUACAAGGGCAUGAGAAGAAGAAGUUUGAGAAUCCUGUGGCUUUUCCUCCUGCUCUAAAAUGGAAGAUCUGGGACUUCUGUGAUAUCAGUCCCUUUCUGGAGGGUGUGAUGAGGCAAUUCAGAGGUAAUAGAGAAUGUGUGCAACGAUCUUAAAUUAAAUGUUACAUUGAUCUGAAAAGGUAAAGAAAGACUCCAAGACAUUUGGCAAGUUAGGGCUAGAAAAUAGGGGAGCUGAAGGACAAUGAAACAGCACAUUACCUUAGUCUAACUGGGGCAUUAGUUCAGGGCUUCUUAGGCUAUCUGAUGUAGGGAUCAGCAAUAUUCUUUGUCUAAUGUGCCAGAGACUAGUGUGAUAUUUGUGCCCAUUGAUUCCUACUGCUGUUCUUUCUUUUCUGGAAACUUGCUAGGAACCGGUAAGCAAUGGUUCAUGGCCUGGGACCAGUUCAUGGACCACCACUUUGAGUAACACUACAUUCGUCCAUAUUUUUAAAGCUCUGCUCAUUGCAUUGUACCUGUUGGUACUUCAGACCCUGUAUUAUUAACAGAAGAGAGUGACUGAGCAGUAGGACUGCCAGCAGACCAGGCAACAAACAAGCUGUGCUGAAAUUCCCUUUUCUACACAACCAUUGAAGAGAUAGAAGCCUUCUCACCUGGAAACCUUGUUAAGCAGGCACUCCAAACGAGGACCUUUCAAGGCAGCUUUUCUUGGUGGAAAUACUGUUGUGGUCCAUCACAUGAUACACUGCCCCCCCUUUUUUUCCCCCUGUUUUCCCUCCAUUUGAUUGUGGCAAAAUCAGAUGGGUCAAAAUGACUAAUCUGAACAAAUUUUGUAGCUUCAGUACCUCAUAGUUGGUCCUAGAUGUUGGUCCUAGAGUGACUUUAGUACUUGUAUUUGUACUUCUGCAAAUGAACUGAGGACUGCAAACUGUCUUCACUUUAAUCUGAGAAGUGGCUGGUAUUAUCAUAUAGCAGUCUUAACUACUGAUGCAUUCAGACAGACCUAGCAAUGAUACAGGCAGACCUGGCUUCCUUCUCCUCCUUUCCUUCCAAUGUGAACAAGUUAAGAUUGCCCCCUUCCAUUUAGGCAAUUUACAGCCCCCUUUUAUCUACGCAUCAAAUGUUUCCACUGGCAUAGUGCUAUGGAGACCUCACAUGGCACAUUGUGCACUGAUUGAUUAUGUAUGCAUUGUAUAUUAUGCAUCGAUACAACAGUGCACAUUGGUUGUGCAAUGUCACUAUUGUCUAAUGGCAUAAGACGAAUUAGGUAUAUCCCAUGAGGGUAAAGUUAGAUUACAUCUCUUGGAUGUAGGAUCUCAGUUAUACUGUGUUGCUUUCUGCUGGGUGUCAUCUAGUGCUGAGUCUCUUUCUUUCCUUUCUCUUGUUAAGAAAAAUGCAACAUGGGAUAUACAGUAGAAGAAAUAAAACAUGUAUGUGAAAGUCACAGUGACUAAGC